Molecule: long non-coding RNA, 1965 nt
Organism: Chenopodium quinoa (quinoa)
Lineage: Eukaryota; Viridiplantae; Streptophyta; Magnoliopsida; Caryophyllales; Amaranthaceae
Exons: 2
Source: RefSeq, a predicted model, not a curated record
UUUGUUUAAAUUUUGGAAUAAUAGUCAGGUAAUAGUAAUACUAAUUCAUAGGCCUAACAAGUUCAUAUUAGGCCUAUACUCCGGUUAUUUACACAAUGGAGGAGAGGGGAGAAAGAUAGAGUACUGUCAAUAUCCAUUUAGUACCCUAAACUGUUACUGCUAAAUGCAGACCUGAAAACGGCGUGAUAGAAAAAUCAGUUAAUCCUAAUUUGCUUGUAUUUUUGGCUGAAAUCGAGCAUCAGAAAGUCUUCUACUUUGAUUAUGACUAUGUGAAAUCGAACCCCUCAUUACACUUUACAGUUGGAGUAACUGAUUUUUCUAUCACGACUUUUUCAGGUCUGCGUUUAGCAGUAACAGUAGGUGCCUCAACAGGCUGGCCCUGAUUUUUCAUCUCAGUUACAAUAUGUUGUUCAUAGUCGAGGGCAGAGAACAGACUGAGGAACUUCUAGAGCAAAGACUAUGAUGUUGAAAUAAGCCGCUUAUGAAGCUGCACCACUGGUGCAUGACUCAACCAUGUAUGUAGCCAUUUUUCUGAAGGACUGCCGUAAGAAAAAAAAAUUGAAACAUUUAUUUAAUGAAAUAGGAAGGUAGGAGAGAAAAAUAUGAUUAUGGAGAUAACUUUGAUCCUCCUUAGGCACCUACAGCUUUAAGGUUUGGUUGGGUAAGAGGCUUGGUGUUCAUGCAAUAGGAAUCAUCAUUAAUAAUAGUUGAUGUAGAGUCUGAGUCCAGUAAGUAAAUGCCGAUUCUUCUGGACUUUAUAUUGGGCAAUUGUGAUCCAAACAUGUCAUUAAUAAUAGUUGAUGUAGAGUCUGAGUCCAGUAAGUAAAUGCCGAUUCUUCUGGACUUUAUAUUGGGCAAUUGUGAUCCAAACAUGCAAUAUAGUUUGUGCUAUCUGGUAGAAAAUCAGCUGGUUGUAAAUCUUUUUGCUAUCUGUAAUGAAUUAUAUGCAAUCUGACCCUUUUGCCUCUUUUUUCAUGUAUAAUGAAACGAUCUUUAUUUGAAGCCCGUGAAGAACAAAAUGGAAUGGAUAUUAGCUCAGAGGUAUCCCAUGUUGAGUGGGCUUUAAGGGUGAUGAGAUUGAAGCUGAAGAGAAGGAAUGGUCUGAAGUAAAAACAAAGCAUGAACUUGCUGCUUGAUUUUGGCUUCGAAGGUACUGCUGAUUGCUGUCACGCUAUCACCUGGCUUAAAAUGGUGAUGGGUAAGGGGUUUCUAUCUCUUUAUUACAUGAAGAUUUAUGAUUGUGAAGGUGCUGUUUUGGGUUGCUGCCAUUGUUCGGAGAGUAUGAGAUUUGUUCUCUUUGGUGAUAAUGGUACGAUGGAUGAACCUGAGUUCUGUUGCUGGCCUUUGCUUUAUUACCAUAUAUGGCUUGUUUACUUGAUAUUGUGGGUUCUUUUGAUUGUUGGGAUUGCCUAUGUAAUUUUUUUCCUCUCUCAUGAUAUAUGGGCAGUUCUGAUUUUGUAGUAUUGAAUCAGUUUUGGCUGCAAACUGACAAGGCGACUCGUCUUCUUAGGCAGAUAGUCUCUAUAACUAGCUUAGUAUAAUGCCUUCUCUUAGCCUAAUUGAGAAUAAAUGCCUUGCUUUUCAGGUUUUCAUUUAGUUUCUUUUCUAGUCUGCAUCUUUGUAUGUCCUUACAGAUUUUGAUUCCUUGAUCACUUUCAGCUCGUGUGCAAUGGAGCAGAGUCAAUUUACUUGAAGGGGAGAUAUUCUGAAUUUUGAUAUAGGAUAGUGGAAAAGAGGAGAGUGAGAGAGAGCAUACAACCUAUAAUAAACUUAAGAUAGGUUUUCUUAUAAGAGGUGUAUGUAAUACGCAACCAAAUUCCCAAGCAAAUAGGCAAUCAAAUAAAUAUUCUAUGACCUAUGCAAAACCUUUAGGGGGUGUUUGGUAAAUGGGAAUAAUAAUCCCUAAUCUUUGUAAACCCAUGUUUGGUUGGUGGGAAUUAAAAAAAAAAAAAAAAAAAAAAAAAA